This 58-nucleotide transfer RNA is filed under the name Paropyrum anemonoides. Its description in RNAcentral is "tRNA-Arg". Lineage: Eukaryota; Viridiplantae; Streptophyta; Magnoliopsida; Ranunculales; Ranunculaceae. The record is from RNAcentral.
CGCCCAUAGUUCAGUGGAUAGAAUGUUUGACUUCGGAUCAAAAGGGGUUAAAAUCUUU